GAUGAACGCUGGCGGCGUGCCUAAUACAUGCAAGUCGAGCGAACGGACGAGAAGCUUGCUUCUCUGAUGUUAGCGGCGGACGGGUGAGUAACACGUGGAUAACCUACCUAUAAGACUGGGAUAACUUCGGGAAACCGGAGCUAAUACCGGAUAAUAUUUUGAACCGCAUGGUUCAAAAGUGAAAGACGGUCUUGCUGUCACUUAUAGAUGGAUCCGCGCUGCAUUAGCUAGUUGGUAAGGUAACGGCUUACCAAGGCAACGAUGCAUAGCCGACCUGAGAGGGUGAUCGGCCACACUGGAACUGAGACACGGUCCAGACUCCUACGGGAGGCAGCAGUAGGGAAUCUUCCGCAAUGGGCGAAAGCCUGACGGAGCAACGCCGCGUGAGUGACGAAGGUCUUCGGAUCGUAAAACUCUGUUAUUAGGGAAGAACAUAUGUGUAAGUAACUGUGCACACCUUGACGGUACCUAAUCAGAAAGCCACGGCUAACUACGUGCCAGCAGCCGCGGUAAUACGUAGGUGGCAAGCGUUAUCCGGAAUUAUUGGGCGUAAAGCGCGCGUAGGCGGUUUUUUAGUCUGAUGUGAAAGCCCACGGCUCAACCGUGGAGGGUCAUUGGAAACUGGAAAACUUGAGUGCAGAAGAGGAAAGUGGAAUUCCAUGUGUAGCGGUGAAAUGCGCAGAGAUAUGGAGGAACACCAGUGGCGAAGGCGACUUUCUGGUCUGUAACUGACGCUGAUGUGCGAAAGCGUGGGGAUCAAACAGGAUUAGAUACCCUGGUAGUCCACGCCGUAAACGAUGAGUGCUAAGUGUUAGGGGGUUUCCGCCCCUUAGUGCUGCAGCUAACGCAUUAAGCACUCCGCCUGGGGAGUACGACCGCAAGGUUGAAACUCAAAGGAAUUGACGGGGACCCGCACAAGCGGUGGAGCAUGUGGUUUAAUUCGAAGCAACGCGAAGAACCUUACCAAAUCUUGACAUCCUUUGACAACUCUAGAGAUAGAGCCUUCCCCUUCGGGGGACAAAGUGACAGGUGGUGCAUGGUUGUCGUCAGCUCGUGUCGUGAGAUGUUGGGUUAAGUCCCGCAACGAGCGCAACCCUUAAGCUUAGUUGCCAUCAUUAAGUUGGGCACUCUAAGUUGACUGCCGGUGACAAACCGGAGGAAGGUGGGGAUGACGUCAAAUCAUCAUGCCCCUUAUGAUUUGGGCUACACACGUGCUACAAUGGACAAUACAAAGGGCAGCGAAACCGCGAGGUCAAGCAAAUCCCAUAAAGUUGUUCUCAGUUCGGAUUGUAGUCUGCAACUCGACUACAUGAAGCUGGAAUCGCUAGUAAUCGUAGAUCAGCAUGCUACGGUGAAUACGUUCCCGGGUCU
RNAcentral lists this ribosomal RNA (1371 nucleotides) under uncultured bacterium. RNAcentral describes it as "bacterial SSU rRNA". It matches the Rfam family "Bacterial small subunit ribosomal RNA", at positions 28 to 1381 of the family's 1533-position model. The record is from RNAcentral.